Molecule: long non-coding RNA, 432 nt
Filed under: Triticum aestivum (bread wheat)
Lineage: Eukaryota; Viridiplantae; Streptophyta; Magnoliopsida; Poales; Poaceae
Description: long non-coding RNA (TAES_LNC006935)
Source: RNAcentral
GAAGUUCUCCCCUUCGGCUCGGCAUAUGGAACCUCUCAGCUACUCCCUCGGGAUAGGUAGGCCCACCCCCCUUCCCCUACUUCUGCAUUUCAUUCUUCUAUUCCUUCCGCUUGCUUUUCUAGUUAAGCUGCUCAUAAACUAGAUCCAUAAAACUCACUCAGCUACUGUCUUCUUUCUAUCUCUUCAGCUGAAGAACUCUCUUUGGGACAAGGGCAUCAUCAAGCAAAGAAAUAGAAGAAGAAGCAGUCAGUAAUGCAAUGCGAGAGAAGUGUCAUGUAGCAAGGUGCCCGGAAUCUAUCGUAUAUCGUAUAUAGGGAUUUUUGAUUGCGAUUUCCUUUUGGGGAUCAGGCCGAUUUGAUGACAGGAAUUUCCUUGUUUGUUGCAGCCUAAGAUUGGGAUUGGCACGUAUGUGGACCACUUUGGCUCCGCCCG